RNAcentral lists this ribosomal RNA (465 nucleotides) under uncultured bacterium. RNAcentral's name for it is "partial 16S ribosomal RNA". It matches the Rfam family "Bacterial small subunit ribosomal RNA", at positions 338 to 795 of the family's 1533-position model. The record is from RNAcentral.
CCUACGGGGUGCAGCAGUGGGGAAUAUUGCGCAAUGGGCGAAAGCCUGACGCAGCGACGCCGCGUGAGGGAUGAAGGUCUUCGGAUCGUAAACCUCUGUCAGCAGGGAAGAACGGUCACUGUGCUAAUCAGCAGUGAAUUGACGGUACCUGCAAAGGAAGCACCGGCUAACUCCGUGCCAGCAGCCGCGGUAAUACGGAGGGUGCGAGCGUUAAUCGGAAUUACUGGGCGUAAAGCGCUCGUAGGCGGUAUGUCAAGUCAAGGGUGAAAUCCCCGCGCUCAACGUGGGAACUGCCUUUGAAACUGGUAAACUGGAGUGUGUGAGAGGAUAGUGGAAUUACAGGUGUAGGAGUGAAAUGCGUAGAUAUCUGGAAGAACAGCAGUGGCGAAGGCGACUAUCUGGCACAUAACUGACGCUGAGGAGCGAAAGCGUGGGUAGCAAACAGGAUUAGAUACCCUAGUAGUC